This is a long non-coding RNA of Pogona vitticeps (central bearded dragon), 2112 nucleotides long. The record is from Ensembl. NCBI's taxonomy places the organism in Eukaryota, Metazoa, Chordata, Lepidosauria, Squamata, Agamidae.
GUUUUUGUUCUGUAAGAGGCCAGCCCACCCCGUGUGCUGUCGUCAUGAUACGGAACCGAAGCUCUCGAUGAAAGGAAGUCCCCUCUCUGAGGCCAGCCUCAAGCAGGGUUUCCGGAGCUGGUGUCUUUUAGGUGUUUUGGACUACAGCUCCCACCAUCCCCUGUCUAUGGGCCACAGUGGUCUGGCAGAAGGAGAGCCAACCCCCCCGCCCCAUAAUUAUAAUUCAGAUUUGCACUUAUUUAUUUUUAUUACAGUAUUUUCUACUUUUAGCUCUCGCCAAGAGCUCAAGUUGGCACGUGUGGUUCUCUUCUUCCUUUUCCUAUCUUCUCAACAACCCUGCGAGGUAGGUGGGGCCGAGACUGGCCCGGCCCAAGGCCAAACAGGGAAUUGCACGACCCACUGGGGAGCUGAAGUCCUAAUCCUACACUCUAACCAUGACACUGCAUGACCAGCUGCGCCACAUAGACCGCUGCAUUACUGCUGCAUGCGGAACUCAUGGACACCGGAUGUGCCAAUGACAUUAACAGGGAAUCCAGCAGCCUUGGGUGAGAGGAUAAGCCGGGUGAAGCCUGCUUCUUUCUGAUGAAGGGUGCCUCUGAAUGUCAGCUGUUUGGAAGGAGGGGGGGAAAAGCAAGAUCCCUUUUUUCAGCCAUCGGCGUGCGCCCUUGACCAGCCGCGACACCUCAUCCUCAUCUACUUUGCAGGAUUGUUGUGCAAAGAAGCCACCCACUCUCUUCACCCCGGCCUCCUCUGAGGAAGGGCAAGGGGCUCCACCACGUAUCUCAGCGUUUGAGUCUUCUCUGUUCCCGGCUCUCUCUGUCGCAUCUCGCACUCAGCACAAUGUUCUGCAGAAGUCCUCUGUUUUUCUUUCCCACCAGCAAAAGGGAGCUUUUGGUGCCGACCUUGCACACCCGCUCUGCAGUUUUACUUCCCUUCCAGCCCUCCCCCACCGCCAUAAACACCAGCCAAGUUACUUCCGGCUGCACAUAAAAAUGCCGUUCAAACGACACCUCCCGCCGGAAGGCUGUCAAGAAUGCAGGUCAGAAAUUGGGGGGGGGGGUCGCUGGGGGUGUCCUUUGUGCAGGCUCUCUGCCUCUUGCUCCUGCCUGUGAGGCUCAGAGUUUAGAAAGGGGACCUUUUUUUAAAAACCACAAGACCCAGAACCCUCUCACCCCUCUGGUGGAUUCUGGGAACUGAAGUCCACAGGAAUGAGAUUUUUCUCUGGCCUGGAUUUGUCAGCAAACAGUCAGAGAGAAACCAAACCCAGAUUCCCAGUCCUUCUGAAGGCUGGCCACGGGCUUGAAACUCUGGCCGGUGGCCCAUUCGCUCCCUGACUCCCUACUGUUGGAUUUCAGCAGGAGUUAAACCGCAGAAGCCUCUGGGCUGCAACCUGACUCCCUACCUGUUGGAUUUCAGCAGGAGUUAAACAGCAGAAGCCUCUGUGGUGCAGGGUCAGAAGACCAGCAGUCGUAAGAUCGAAUCCACACGACGGAGUGAGCUCCCGUCACUUUGUCCCAACUCCUUGCCAACCUAGCAGUUCGAAAGCAUGUAAAUGCGAGUAGAUAAAUAGGUGCCACCUCGGUGGGAAGGUAAAACAGCGUUCCCUAGUCGCGCUGGCCAUGUGACCUCGGAAACUGUCUACGGGCAAAAUGCUGGCUCUACGGCUUGGAGACGGGGAUGAGCACUGUGCCCUAGAGUCGGACGCGACUGGACUCAAUGUCAAGGGGAACCUUUACCUUUAAGGUAUUUAAGGAGCGGCUUUACCUGUCUGUCUCUCCGUCUGUUUGUUGGAGUUGGUUUAUUUCACAUAUUUUUAUGUAUCCUUUCUCCUUUAAAAGGAGCCAAAGCAGCUUACACCAUUGGAAGUCCAUAUUAAAAUUCAAAAACCGUGAGUUGCCAAAUACCAAAAAGGAUCCUUUACCUUUACCUGACACGCAGACACGGUACCUGCUGAUAUUUUCUCCCUCCCUGUUUCUCCUCAAGGACUGAAGGCGGAGAAGCCAUGCCAUCCAUCCAUCCAUCCAUCCAUCCAUCCAUCCAUCCAUCCAUCCAUCCAUCCAUCCAUCCAUCCACAGACUGGGGUCCCCAGAUGUUCUCGGACCGCGCUUCCCA